This 203-nucleotide ribosomal RNA is filed under the name uncultured bacterium. RNAcentral's name for it is "partial 16S ribosomal RNA". It matches the Rfam family "Bacterial small subunit ribosomal RNA", at positions 1298 to 1500 of the family's 1533-position model. The record is from RNAcentral.
UUGCAGGCUGAAACUCGCCUGCAUGAAGUCGGAAUUGCUAGUAAUCGCAGAUCAGCAUGCUGCGGUGAAUACGUUCCCGGGCCUUGUACACACCGCCCGUCACACCAUGGGAGUCGGUAACACCCGAAGCCUGUAGUCUAACCGCAAGGAGGACGCAGUCGAAGGUGGGAUUGAUGACUGGGGUGAAGUCGUAACAAGGUACC